GGCUCAGUGGUCUAGGGGUAUGAUUCUCGCUUUGGGUGCGAGAGGUCCCGGUUCAAAUCCCGGCUGAGCCC
Molecule: transfer RNA, 71 nt
Filed under: Nylanderia fulva
Lineage: Eukaryota; Metazoa; Arthropoda; Insecta; Hymenoptera; Formicidae
Also listed under: 1 other name
Rfam family: tRNA
About the family: Transfer RNA (tRNA) molecules are approximately 80 nucleotides in length.
Source: Rfam by way of RNAcentral